AUUGAACGCUGGCGGCAGGCCUAACACAUGCAAGUCGAACGGUAACAGGAAGCAGCUUGCUGCUUCGCUGACGAGUGGCGGACGGGUGAGUAAUGUCUGGGAAGCUGCCUGAUGGAGGGGGAUAACUACUGGAAACGGUAGCUAAUACCGCAUAAUGUCGCAAGACCAAAGAGGGGGACCUUCGGGCCUCUUGCCAUCGGAUGUGCCCAGAUGGGAUUAGCUUGUUGGUGGGGUAACGGCUCACCAAGGCGACGAGCCCUAGCUGGUCUGAGAGGAUGACCAGCCACACUGGAACUGAGACACGGUCCAGACUCCUACGGGAGGCAGCAGUGGGGAAUAUUGCACAAUGGGCGCAAGCCUGAUGCAGCCAUGCCGCGUGUAUGAAGAAGGCCUUCGGGUUGUAAAGUACUUUCAGCGGGGAGGAAGGGAGUAAAGUUAAUACCUUUGCUCAUUGACGUUACCCGCAGAAGAAGCACCGGCUAACUCCGUG
RNAcentral lists this ribosomal RNA (490 nucleotides) under uncultured bacterium. Its description in RNAcentral is "partial 16S ribosomal RNA". It matches the Rfam family "Bacterial small subunit ribosomal RNA", at positions 30 to 507 of the family's 1533-position model. The record is from RNAcentral.